Medicago truncatula (barrel medic) is the source of this 116-nucleotide microRNA precursor. It matches the Rfam family "mir-399 microRNA precursor family". From Rfam's summary of the family: mir-399 was identified in both Arabidopsis thaliana and Oryza sativa computationally and was later experimentally verified. mir-399 is thought to target mRNAs coding for a phosphatase transporter. The mature sequence is excised from the 3' arm of the hairpin. The record is from Rfam. Lineage: Eukaryota; Viridiplantae; Streptophyta; Magnoliopsida; Fabales; Fabaceae.
GGCAGCAUUACAGGGCAUGUUCUCCUUUGGCAGGUAGCCAUAUGCUAUGAUAUGCAUUGCAACCAUACUCUUUGAGUGUGUAACCUGCCAAAGGAGAUUUGCCCAGCAAUUCUCCC